Sitophilus oryzae (rice weevil) is the source of this 1989-nucleotide long non-coding RNA. RefSeq lists it as uncharacterized. NCBI's taxonomy places the organism in Eukaryota, Metazoa, Arthropoda, Insecta, Coleoptera, Curculionidae. The record is from RefSeq and is a predicted model, not a curated record. The transcript is spliced from 10 exons.
GGUAAAUUAGUAAAUAAUGUAAUUUUACAUUAUAAUGAGAAUUAAAGUAUUAGUAAUUUAUUUUUGUUACUAAAAUUAAAUUCAGUUUGUUCCUGUAUAAAUCUUUUUAGUACUAAACUGCUUUGGAAUGAAUUUUUCUGGGGGACAACAGCAGGAUUAGAGCCAUCCUCUAGAUGCCAUCAGGUAGGUGCGCUAGCGUAGUCGUUUGUUGUAGCAUUAUAUCCCUUUCCCCCUUUUUAAAAAAUGUUUGUAAGACGCCUGAAAUUUGUAUAAGUUAGUUAUAUAAGUAGUUGAAUAAGAAUUGGUGAGACAUGGAAAAUAGAAGAGGACAGAGAAGAUGGAAGAGGAUUGCUUUGAAAUAGAACUAAAGGAGAUAGAAGAUGUUUGAGGAAAGGAGGAGGAUUUUGUUCCCUGUAACGGAAGUUUUUUGAAUGAAAUUUGGAGCAACUGUAUUAAGAUGUUAUUGGUAUCUUGGACGUCAAGUUUCAUUUAUUUAUGUAUUAUACAAGCAUAUCUAUUGGUGGAAAUGUAGAAUGGCAGCUGUUAUAACAACUUGGAUGGAUUAUUAGAAACACCAAAGAAGUUUUGGCAUAAUUUAAACUGGGAAAAGGCUCACAGAUGACCAAUUUAUUCUACAGUAGAUACAGGACAUUAAAUUGACUUCACCAACGCAGAUAUCUCUCAAAAAUGAUAUCUGUUCGAGUGAUGUACUGGGCGUUAACAGUUGCUGUUACAAAUCUGCAAAUGAGUUACUACUGUACAUAAGUUGGAGGAAUGCCAAGGAAUUUUUUGAAUAAAAUGAUACUGAAAAUCUUACCCACCAAUGACAAUUUUAAGAUACAAUCAAUAGUAUUUGGAUUGAUUGGCCUUCAUUACUGUUGCGCUAUGAAAAUGUAAGCAACACAAAUUGGUAUUAAUGGACGUUUUGACAGCUGUUUCCAGUCCAAGUUCCAGUUUUAAAGGAAAAAAUUUAAUGGACACAGAAAAAUGCCAUUUACUGGAUUGACUUCAACACCUGUUGCCUUUUAAUAAUGGUAUACAAUGGGACAAUCGCUGUUAGAAGUCAACAAGUAGUACUAAUUGCAAAUAAUAUAUUAUGGCGGACAUCAAAAAGCUUUAAAUGGAAUGAAACUUGCAGAAAAAGACUCAGAAAGACCAUUUAGGGCGCAGAAAAAGACUCAGAAAGACCAUUUAGAACUGUACUUAACAGCUGUUAGAGUGGAUGCAGUCCUUCAUCAAUGUGAGCUGAAGAAAUUGAUAACGGAUUUUGACAGCUACUGUCACAACUCAACGAACAAGUUGCAGCUUUGAAGGAACAUAUUUGAUUGGAUACAGAACAAUGUCAGUCGUUUCAGGAUGUAAAGUUAAUAGAACCAGGGUUGGGCUCGACAUCUCUUACCGUUUAAUAAUGGCAUACGAUAGGACAAUUGCUAUUAGAAACCGAUAAGCCAAACUAGCUGCAAAUAAUAUGUAUGGUGGUUAUAAAAGAGAUUUAAAUGGAAUGAAACUUGUGCAGAAGAAAUUGGUCUGCUGUUACUUAAUAGCUGUUAGAGCGGAUCCAGUUCUUCAUCAAUGGUAUAAGAUGGGAUAAUUGCUGUUAAAAAUCCACAAGCUGUACCAUCUGCAAAUAUUAUGGUGGACAUCAAAAAGCUUUAAAUGGAAUGAAAUUUGCAGGGAAAGACUCAGAAAGACCAUUGAGGACUGUACUUAAUAGCUGUUAGUGUGGUCGCAGUCCUUCAUCACUGAUAUCUCUGCAUUUUCUUAACAAUGGAUAUCCCAACAGUUGCUCCUACUCUUCGCUUUCCUCUUUCACUCAACAUAAAGCAGACUCAAUACUCCUCAAUGCCUCACCAAGGUUCGUUAGCUUCAUUAAUAGUGUUAUUGUUUCAAUAAAUUUGUUUACUGGUUUUUAUCCUCUUCUUAACUAUUUAAGUAUAUCAGGCGUCAUAUUAGUGUUAUUGAUUUUUUGUAAAAUUUUGAUAAUCUGGA